UAAGGAAUUUUCCGCAAUGGGCGAAAGCCUGACGGAGCGACACCGCGUGGAGGACGAAGGCUUUCGGGUCGUAAACUCCUUUUUUAUGGGAUGAACAAUCGGACAGUACCAUAAGAAUAAGUACCGGCUAACUACGUGCCAGCAGCCGCGGUAAUACGUAGGGUACGAGCGUUAUCCGGAUUAACUGGGCUUAGAGCGCGUGUAGGUGGUUUGAUAAGUUCAUAAUGAAAUCCCAUAGCUCAACUAUGGACACGUUAUGAAUACUGUCUCACUAGAGGGUAGACGGGGAAAGUGGAAUUCCCGGUGUAGAGGUAAAAUUCGUUGAUAUCGGGAGGAACACCAGAGGCGAAAGCGACUUUCUAGACUACCCCUGACACUGAGACGCGAAAGCUGGGGGAGCGAAAGGG
RNAcentral lists this ribosomal RNA (407 nucleotides) under uncultured bacterium. Its description in RNAcentral is "bacterial SSU rRNA". It matches the Rfam family "Bacterial small subunit ribosomal RNA", at positions 355 to 776 of the family's 1533-position model. The record is from RNAcentral.